GUGCUCACUUCGGCAGCACAUAUACUAACAUUGGAAUGAUACAGAGAUUAGCGUGGCCCUUGCGCAAGGAUGACACGCAAAUUCAUGAAGCGUUCCAUAUUUUU
RNAcentral lists this small nuclear RNA (104 nucleotides) under Myotis brandtii (Brandt's bat). Lineage: Eukaryota; Metazoa; Chordata; Mammalia; Chiroptera; Vespertilionidae. The record is from RNAcentral.